RNAcentral lists this ribosomal RNA (272 nucleotides) under Salmonella enterica subsp. enterica serovar Muenchen. RNAcentral's name for it is "partial 23S ribosomal RNA". It matches the Rfam family "Bacterial large subunit ribosomal RNA", at positions 634 to 908 of the family's 2925-position model. Lineage: Bacteria; Pseudomonadati; Pseudomonadota; Gammaproteobacteria; Enterobacterales; Enterobacteriaceae. The record is from RNAcentral. RNAcentral also lists the same sequence under 1 other name.
UCUGUAGCAAGGUUAACCGUAUAGGGGAGCCGGAGGGAAACCGAGUCUUAACCGGGCGUUAAGUUGCAGGGUAUAGACCCGAAACCCGGUGAUCUAGCCAUGGGCAGGUUGAAGGUUGGGUAACACUAACUGGAGGACCGAACCGACUAAUGUUGAAAAAUUAGCGGAUGACCUGUGGCUGGGGGUGAAAGGCCAAUCAAACCGGGAGAUAGCUGGUUCUCCCCGAAAGCUAUUUAGGUAGCGCCUCGUGAACUCAUCUCCGGGGGUAGAGC